This 484-nucleotide ribosomal RNA is filed under the name uncultured bacterium. Its description in RNAcentral is "partial 16S ribosomal RNA". It matches the Rfam family "Bacterial small subunit ribosomal RNA", at positions 30 to 507 of the family's 1533-position model. The record is from RNAcentral.
AUUGAACGCUGGCGGCAGGCCUAACACAUGCAAGUCGAGCGGAUGAAUGGAGCUUGCUCCUGGAUUCAUCGGCGGACGGGUGAGUAAUGCCUAUGAAUCUGCCUGGUAGUGGGGGAUAACGUCCGGAAACGGGCGCUAAUACCGCAUACGUCCUGAGGGAGAAAGUGGGGGAUCUUCGGACCUCACGCUAUCAGAUGAGCCUAGGUGGGAUUAGCUAGUUGGUGGGGUAAAGGCCUACAAAGGCGACGAUCCGUAACUGGUCUGAGAGGAUGAUCAGUCACACUGGAACUGAGACACGGUCCAGACUCCUACGGGAGGAAGCAGUGGGGAAUAUUGGACAAUGGGCGAAAGCCUGAUCCAGCCAUGCCGCGUGUGUGAAGAAGGUCUUCGGAUUGUAAAGCAAUUUAAGUUGGGAGGAAGGGCAGUAAGUUAAUACCUUGCUGUUUUGACGUUACCAACAGAAUAAGCACCGGCUAACUUCGUG